Molecule: ribosomal RNA, 464 nt
Filed under: uncultured bacterium
Lineage: Bacteria
Description: partial 16S ribosomal RNA
Rfam family: Bacterial small subunit ribosomal RNA
Source: RNAcentral
CCUACGGGGGGCAGCAGUAGGGAAUCUUCCACAAUGGACGAAAGUCUGAUGGAGCAACGCCGCGUGAGUGAAGAAGGGUUUCGGCUCGUAAAGCUCUGUUGGUAGUGAAGAAAGAUAGAGGUAGUAACUGGCCUUUAUUUGACGGUAAUUACUUAGAAAGUCACGGCUAACUACGUGCCAGCAGCCGCGGUAAUACGUAGGUGCAAGCGUUGUCCGGAUUUUUUGGGCGUAAAGGGAGUGCAGGCGGUUCAAUAAGUCUGAUGUGAAAGCCCUCGGCUCAACCGGAGAAUUGCAUCAGAAACUGUUGAAGUUGAGUGCAGAAGAGGAGAGUGGAACUCCAUGUGUAGCGGUGGAAUGCGUAGAUAUAUGGAAGAACACCAGUGGCGAAGGCGGCUCUCUGGUCUGCAACUGACGCUGAGGCUCGAAAGCAUGGGUAGCGAACAGGAUUAGAUACCCCUGUAGUC